This 1269-nucleotide ribosomal RNA is filed under the name Salmonella enterica. RNAcentral's name for it is "partial 23S ribosomal RNA". It matches the Rfam family "Bacterial large subunit ribosomal RNA", at positions 454 to 1637 of the family's 2925-position model. Lineage: Bacteria; Pseudomonadati; Pseudomonadota; Gammaproteobacteria; Enterobacterales; Enterobacteriaceae. The record is from RNAcentral.
CAUCCUCCAAGGCUAAAUACUCCUGACUGACCGAUAGUGAACCAGUACCGUGAGGGAAAGGCGAAAAGAACCCCGGCGAGGGGAGUGAAAAAGAACCUGAAACCGUGUACGUACAAGCAGUGGGAGCACAGGUUUACCUGUGUGACUGCGUACCUUUUGUAUAAUGGGUCAGCGACUUAUAUUCUGUAGCAAGGUUAACCGUAUAGGGGAGCCGUAGGGAAACCGAGUCUUAACCGGGCGUUAAGUUGCAGGGUAUAGACCCGAAACCCGGUGAUCUAGCCAUGGGCAGGUUGAAGGUUGGGUAACACUAACUGGAGGACCGAACCGACUAAUGUUGAAAAAUUAGCGGAUGACCUGUGGCUGGGGGUGAAAGGCCAAUCAAACCGGGAGAUAGCUGGUUCUCCCCGAAAGCUAUUUAGGUAGCGCCUCGUGAAUUCAUCUCCGGGGGUAGAGCACUGUUUCGGCUAGGGGGCCAUCCCGGCUUACCAACCCGAUGCAAACUGCGAAUACCGGAGAAUGUUAUCACGGGAGACACACGGCGGGUGCUAACGUCCGUCGUGAAGAGGGAAACAACCCAGACCGCCAGCUAAGGUCCCAAAGUCAUGGUUAAGUGGGAAACGAUGUGGGAAGGCCCAGACAGCCAGGAUGUUGGCUUAGAAGCAGCCAUCAUUUAAAGAAAGCGUAAUAGCUCACUGGUCGAGUCGGCCUGCGCGGAAGAUGUAACGGGGCUAAACCAUGCACCGAAGCUGCGGCAGCGAACGUAUCACCCAAGACAACUUUACGGAGUUGACGAUUGACGGAGCGAAGCGACGUCAAAGCGUUCAUUAAAGUCGAGUUGGCUUAGGGAUACGUUCGUUGGGUAGGGGAGCGUUCUGUAAGCCUGUGAAGGUGUGUCGUGAGGCAUGCUGGAGGUAUCAGAAGUGCGAAUGCUGACAUAAGUAACGAUAAAGCGGGUGAAAAGCCCGCUCGCCGGAAGACCAAGGGUUCCUGUCCAACGUUAAUCGGGGCAGGGUGAGUCGACCCCUAAGGCGAGGCCGAAAGGCGUAGUCGAUGGGAAACGGGUUAAUAUUCCCGUACUUGGUGUUACUGCGAAGGGGGGACGGAGAAGGCUAUGUUGGCCGGGCGACGGUUGUCCCGGUUUAAGCGUGUAGGUGUGUGUUCCAGGUAAAUCCGGUUCACUUUAACACUGAGGCGUGACGACGAGGCACUACGGUGCUGAAGCAACAAAUGCCCUGCUUCCAGGAAAAGCCUCUAAGCAUCAGGUAACAC